RNAcentral lists this ribosomal RNA (2586 nucleotides) under Enterococcus faecium EnGen0009. RNAcentral's name for it is "bacterial LSU rRNA". It matches the Rfam family "Bacterial large subunit ribosomal RNA", at positions 1 to 2599 of the family's 2925-position model. Lineage: Bacteria; Bacillati; Bacillota; Bacilli; Lactobacillales; Enterococcaceae. The record is from RNAcentral.
UUAAGUGAAUAAGGGCGCACGGUGGAUGCCUUGGCACUAGGAGCCGAUGAAGGACGGGACUAACACCGAUAUGCUUUGGGGAGCUGUACGUAAGCUAUGAUCCAGAGAUUUCCGAAUGGGGGAACCCAACAUCUUUAAUAGGAUGUUACGAUUGUGUGAAUACAUAGCACAUUCGAGGUAGACGCAGAGAACUGAAACAUCUAAGUACCUGCAGGAAGAGAAAGAAAAUUCGAUUCCCUGAGUAGCGGCGAGCGAAACGGGAAAAGCCCAAACCAGCAAGCUUGCUUGUUGGGGUUGUAGGACUCCAAUAUGGUAGUUCUUUCAGAUAGUCGAAUGACUUGGAAAAGUCAGUCAAAGAGGGUAAAAACCCCGUAGACGAAAUGUGGAAGACACCUAGGAGGAUCCUGAGUACGGCGGAACACGAGAAAUUCCGUCGGAAUCCGGGAGGACCAUCUCCCAAGGCUAAAUACUCCCUAGUGACCGAUAGUGAACCAGUACCGUGAGGGAAAGGUGAAAAGCACCCCGGAAGGGGAGUGAAAUAGAACCUGAAACCGUGUGCCUACAACAAGUCAAAGCCCGUUAAUGGGUGAUGGCGUGCCUUUUGUAGAAUGAACCGGCGAGUUACGAUUGCAUGCGAGGUUAAGUUGAAGAGACGGAGCCGCAGCGAAAGCGAGUCUGAAUAGGGCGUUUGAGUAUGUAGUCGUAGACCCGAAACCAUGUGAUCUACCCAUGUCCAGGUUGAAGGUGCGGUAAAACGCACUGGAGGACCGAACCCACGUACGUUGAAAAGUGCGGGGAUGAGGUGUGGGUAGCGGAGAAAUUCCAAACGAACUUGGAGAUAGCUGGUUCUCUCCGAAAUAGCUUUAGGGCUAGCCUCGGAAUUGAGAAUGAUGGAGGUAGAGCACUGUUUGGACUAGGGGCCCAUCUCGGGUUACCGAAUUCAGAUAAACUCCGAAUGCCAUUCAUUCAUAUCCGGGAGUCAGACUGUGAGUGAUAAGAUCCAUAGUCGAAAGGGAAACAGCCCAGACCACCAGCUAAGGUCCCAAAAUAUAUGUUAAGUGGAAAAGGAUGUGGGGUUGCACAGACAACUAGGAUGUUGGCUUAGAAGCAGCCACCAUUUAAAGAGUGCGUAAUAGCUCACUAGUCGAGUGACCCUGCGCCGAAAAUGUACCGGGGCUAAACAUAUUACCGAAGCUGUGGAGUACACCUUUAGGUGUAUUGGUAGGAGAGCGUUCUAAGGGCGUCGAAGGCAGAUCGUGAGGACUGCUGGAGCGCUUAGAAGUGAGAAUGCCGGUAUGAGUAGCGAAAGACAGGUGAGAAUCCUGUCCACCGAAUGACUAAGGUUUCCUGGGGAAGGCUCGUCCGCCCAGGGUUAGUCGGGACCUAAGCCGAGGCCGACAGGCGUAGGCGAUGGAUAACAGGUUGAUAUUCCUGUACCCGUUGUUUUUGUUUGAGCAAUGGAGGGACGCAGGAGGCUAAGGAAUGCAGACGAUCGGAAAUGUCUGUCCAAGCAGUAAGUCUGAAGAGGAGUCAAAUGCUUCUUUUCUUAAGGACAAGCUGUGAUGGGGAGGGAAAUAAUAGUACCGAAGUUCCUGAUGUCACACUGCCGAGAAAAGCUUCUAGUGAGAAAACAGCGGCCCGUACCGCAAACCGACACAGGUAGUCGAGGAGAGAAUCCUAAGGUGAGCGAGAGAACUCUCGUUAAGGAACUCGGCAAAAUGACCCCGUAACUUCGGGAGAAGGGGUGCUGAUCAUACGAUCAGCCGCAGUGAAUAGGCCCAAGCGACUGUUUAUCAAAAACACAGGUCUCUGCAAAAUCGUAAGAUGAAGUAUAGGGGCUGACGCCUGCCCGGUGCUGGAAGGUUAAGAGGAGUGCUUAGCGCAAGCGAAGGUACGAAUUGAAGCCCCAGUAAACGGCGGCCGUAACUAUAACGGUCCUAAGGUAGCGAAAUUCCUUGUCGGGUAAGUUCCGACCCGCACGAAAGGCGUAACGAUUUGGGCACUGUCUCAACGAGAGACUCGGUGAAAUUUUAGUACCUGUGAAGAUGCAGGUUACCCGCGACAGGACGGAAAGACCCCAUGGAGCUUUACUGUAGUUUGAUAUUGAGUGUCUGUACCGCAUGUACAGGAUAGGUAGGAGCCGUAGAAAUCGGAACGCUAGUUUCGAUGGAGGCGCUGGUGGGAUACUACCCCUGCGUUAUGGCCACUCUAACCCGCACCACUAAUCGUGGUGGGAGACAGUGUCAGAUGGGCAGUUUGACUGGGGCGGUCGCCUCCUAAAAGGUAACGGAGGCGCCCAAAGGUUCCCUCAGAAUGGUUGGAAAUCAUUCGAAGAGUGUAAAGGCAGAAGGGAGCUUGACUGCGAGACCAACAAGUCGAGCAGGGACGAAAGUCGGGCUUAGUGAUCCGGUGGUUCCGCAUGGAAGGGCCAUCGCUCAACGGAUAAAAGCUACCCUGGGGAUAACAGGCUUAUCUCCCCCAAGAGUCCACAUCGACGGGGAGGUUUGGCACCUCGAUGUCGGCUCGUCGCAUCCUGGGGCUGUAGUCGGUCCCAAGGGUUGGGCUGUUCGCCCAUUAAAGCGGCAC